CCCUAAGUAGCUUAACAAUAAAGCUUUAGCCUCUUGAUCUAAAGAUGGGUAGAAUACCCCUUAAGGA
RNAcentral lists this transfer RNA (67 nucleotides) under Holothuria scabra. RNAcentral's name for it is "tRNA-Lys". It matches the Rfam family "tRNA". From Rfam's summary of the family: Transfer RNA (tRNA) molecules are approximately 80 nucleotides in length. Their secondary structure includes four short double-helical elements and three loops (D, anti-codon, and T loops). The record is from RNAcentral. Lineage: Eukaryota; Metazoa; Echinodermata; Holothuroidea; Aspidochirotida; Holothuriidae.